GAAGGGGGGACGGAGAAGGCUAUGUUGGCCGGGCGACGGUUGUCCCGGUUUAAGCGUGUAGGCUGGUUUUCCAGGCAAAUCCGGAAAACUAAGGCUGAGGCGUGAUGACGAGGCACUACGGUGCUGAAGCAACAAAUGCCCUGCUUCCAGGAAAAGCCUCUAAGCAUCAGGUAACAUCAAAUCGUACCCCAAACCGACACAGGUGGUCAGGUAGAGAAUACCAAGGCGCUUGAGAGAACUCGGGUGAAGGAACUAGGCAAAAUGGUGCCGUAACUUCGGGAGAAGGCACGCUGAUAUGUAGGUGAAGUCCCUCGCGGAUGGAGCUGAAAUCAGUCGAAGAUACCAGCUGGCUGCAACUGUUUAUUAAAAACACAGCACUGUGCAAACACGAAAGUGGACGUAUACGGUGUGACGCCUGCCCGGUGCCGGAAGGUUAAUUGAUGGGGUCAGCGCAAGCGAAGCUCUUGAUCGAAGCCCCGGUAAACGGCGGCCGUAACUAUAACGGUCCUAAGGUAGCGAAAUUCCUUGUCGGGUAAGUUCCGACCUGCACGAAUGGCGUAAUGAUGGCCAGGCUGUCUCCACCCGAGACUCAGUGAAAUUGAACUCGCUGUGAAGAUGCAGUGUACCCGCGGCAAGACGGAAAGACCCCGUGAACCUUUACUAUAGCUUGACACUGAACAUUGAGCCUUGAUGUGUAGGAUAGGUGGGAGGCUUUGAAGUGUGGACGCCAGUCUGCAUGGAGCCGACCUUGAAAUACCACCCUUUAAUGUUUGAUGUUCUAACGUUGACCCGUAAUCCGGGUUGCGGACAGUGUCUGGUGGGUAGUUUGACUGGGGCGGUCUCCUCCUAAAGAGUAACGGAGGAGCACGAAGGUUGGCUAAUCCUGGUCGGACAUCAGGAGGUUAGUGCAAUGGCAUAAGCCAGCUUGACUGCGAGCGUGACGGCGCGAGCAGGUGCGAAAGCAGGUCAUAGUGAUCCGGUGGUUCUGAAUGGAAGGGCCAUCGCUCAACGGAUAAAAGGUACUCCGGGGAUAACAGGCUGAUACCGCCCAAGAGUUCAUAUCGACGGCGGUGUUUGGCACCUCGAUGUCGGCUCAUCACAUCCUGGGGCUGAAGUAGGUCCCAAGGGUAUGGCUGUUCGCCAUUUAAAGUGGUACGCGAGCUGGGUUUAGAACGUCGUGAGACAGUUCGGUCCCUAUCUGCCGUGGGCGCUGGAGAACUGAGGGGGGCUGCUCCUAGUACGAGAGGACCGGAGUGGACGCAUCACUGGUGUUCGGGUUGUCAUGCCAAUGGCACUGCCCGGUAGCUAAAUGCGGAAGAGAUAAGUGCUGAAAGCAUCUAAGCACGAAACUUGCCCCGAGAUGAGUUCUCCCUGACUCCUUGAGAGUCCUGAAGGAACGUUGAAGACGACGACGUUGAUAGGCCGG
RNAcentral lists this ribosomal RNA (1426 nucleotides) under Escherichia coli. Its description in RNAcentral is "partial 23S ribosomal RNA". It matches the Rfam family "Bacterial large subunit ribosomal RNA", at positions 1463 to 2864 of the family's 2925-position model. Lineage: Bacteria; Pseudomonadati; Pseudomonadota; Gammaproteobacteria; Enterobacterales; Enterobacteriaceae. The record is from RNAcentral.